This is a long non-coding RNA of Olea europaea var. sylvestris, 1400 nucleotides long. RefSeq lists it as uncharacterized. Lineage: Eukaryota; Viridiplantae; Streptophyta; Magnoliopsida; Lamiales; Oleaceae. The record is from RefSeq and is a predicted model, not a curated record. The transcript is spliced from 2 exons.
CAACAUAUAACAAACGGUGACUAAUUUUUCAUUUAUUUCUUCUCUUCCCAAACCCUUAGUUUUGCCACCGCACCUCGCAAACCGGAGCAACCAUUGCCGAUCGGAGCACCGGUAGUCGCUGACACAGAAGAGGGAAAAAAUGGGACAAAAAGGGAACCCAUUUAUAUCCAACAUUUGAAAGCCCAAAAGUCGACCGACUAUUUCCUUGGUUUUCCUUCCAUAAUCUUCGACGUUUAUUAGCACACAUUCGAAAAUCGCCAGCAUUUCAAUUCUCUCUUUGCAACUUGACAGUGGGUUAUUCCCAGUCUUCAUAUCAACGUAAAUGAAAAGGGGUUUUUAUGAUGUUCCUUCCAAUGUUGGAGUUUAGGGGUUUGUUAAAUUUGCUGUCUAAGUCGCAUAUAGGUGAUGGUAUGAAGUCAAUUUUGUUGGUCUUUUUUUCUUGAAUGUGUAAUGGAGAAUUCUUGUUGGGUUUGCUGCAUACCCUAUACUUGUGUAUUGAAAAUUAAAUGUUGGUGGCAUUUGAAUUUUCCAUCGUCAAAUUUGGAGUAGAGUAUAGACACUUCAAUCUUGGACGUAAAUUUUUGUUUAACUAAUUGCACGUUUUCUUUUUGUGAAAUUAUUCAGACUUUUAUUACAUUUUAUUUAAGUUAUUCUUUGACAUUUGUUGUUCCUCUAAUGGGUUUAGUGUUGCAAUCUUGGUUGUUUUCAUUCCUAUUUCUUCCAUAAGGCACUUCGAUGUUGAAUGUUAUCAAUUAACUGAAGGGGCUAAAUAAAAGCAGCUUAUUCAGAAUGCCCAGAAGGAACUUCGGAAUCUGUCAUAGUUGUAGAGCUAAAGACCAUUUGUUUGCCGAAUACAAAAGAAAACGCCCUUGCCCACGAUGUAAGCAUGGAUUUGAGAAAUGUUUUGUGGUGAAGAAGGAGAAUCACAAUAAGGGGAAACUAUUCCUUUGUUGCAGCCAAAAUUGUGGAUUUUAGGAGUGGGUCGUAAAAUAAGACUCAAGCAGUCAAUGUAGUAGCAAUAGCGUAACGGUCGUUAACCCCACGAUGAACGACAUUGAUGAAGAAAUAUCUUGCAUAUUCAAAUCUCAGGUACUGAUAAGAGACGAAGAGGAGCUCAGAUUUCCGUGAAUGUGAGCAUCAAGAUGGAGAAAAUUGUUGUAGACGUGGACGGUAAGGGAAGCGGCUAACUUGACUUGAAGAUACUUAUCGAAGCUUUUUUCGAUGAAAAAUGAAUCAGCUUGUCCUUCAUUAUUUCUAGAGGCUGAAAGUCUUGUAUGUGAUGAAUUAAGUCAAGUAGUUGAGCUUUGUGGUACGAGAUUGUAGAUCAUGAUAGCUUCGUAUCUAAAGAAGCUUCUUUUGUAGACAUUCUGACUAUGCUAAUUACGUGCACUUUAUGCUAA